RNAcentral lists this long non-coding RNA (119 nucleotides) under Pongo abelii (Sumatran orangutan). Its description in RNAcentral is "lincRNA". Lineage: Eukaryota; Metazoa; Chordata; Mammalia; Primates; Hominidae. The record is from RNAcentral.
UGAGCCUUGGCCCCGUCUUGAAGCCUCUGGGGAGUCUCCAGCUCACAAGGGCAGAGGAGAUGGAGACAGGCCGGUCGACGCGAGGGUGGUGCAGGUGGCCCCUCUGAGGUUUGGCUCUA